This 215-nucleotide ribosomal RNA is filed under the name Campeiostachys nutans. RNAcentral describes it as "Elymus nutans partial small subunit ribosomal RNA". The stretch from base 37 to 215 matches the Rfam family "Eukaryotic small subunit ribosomal RNA", at positions 684 to 864 of the family's 1831-position model. The record is from RNAcentral. Lineage: Eukaryota; Viridiplantae; Streptophyta; Magnoliopsida; Poales; Poaceae.
AGAUCAGAAUGUUGGUCGUGCCUUGGUACGUACUGGUAUUAUUGGUUUCUCCCUUCUGACGAACCUUGAUGUCAUUAAUUUGGUGUCUUGGGGAAUCAGGACUGUUACUUUGAAAAAAUUAGAGUGUUUAAAGCAGGCUCACGCUUGAAUACAUUAGCAUGGAAUAAUGAAAUAGGACGUUUGAUUCUAUUUUGUUGAUUUCUAGGAUCGACGUA